GCGGGAAUAGCUCAGUGGUAGAGCACCUCCUUGCCAAGGAGGGGGUCGCGGGUCCGAAUCCCGUUUCCCGCU
RNAcentral lists this transfer RNA (72 nucleotides) under Leptospiraceae bacterium. RNAcentral's name for it is "tRNA-Gly". It matches the Rfam family "tRNA". From Rfam's summary of the family: Transfer RNA (tRNA) molecules are approximately 80 nucleotides in length. Their secondary structure includes four short double-helical elements and three loops (D, anti-codon, and T loops). Lineage: Bacteria; Pseudomonadati; Spirochaetota; Leptospiria; Leptospirales; Leptospiraceae. The record is from RNAcentral.